ACCAGCGGAGGGAUCAUUGCUG
RNAcentral lists this ribosomal RNA (22 nucleotides) under Phomopsis sp. 1T50G. RNAcentral describes it as "partial 18S ribosomal RNA". The record is from RNAcentral. Lineage: Eukaryota; Fungi; Ascomycota; Sordariomycetes; Diaporthales; Diaporthaceae.